UACAGAGGUGGCGAGCGUUACUCGGAUUUAUUGGGUGUAAAGGGCAGGUAGGUGUCCCGUCAAGUUUUGGGUGAAAGCCUGCGGCUCAACCGCAGAACUGCCCAAAAAACUGGCGGGAUUGAGGCUAGAAGAGGAGAGCGGAAUUCCCGGUGUAAGGGUGAAAUCUGUAGAUAUCGGGAAGAACACCAGUGGCGAAAGCGGCUCUCUAGUCUAGCUCUGACACUAAGCUGCGAAAGCUCGGGGAG
Molecule: ribosomal RNA, 245 nt
Filed under: uncultured bacterium
Lineage: Bacteria
Description: partial 16S ribosomal RNA
Rfam family: Bacterial small subunit ribosomal RNA
Source: RNAcentral